RNAcentral lists this ribosomal RNA (546 nucleotides) under uncultured haloarchaeon. Its description in RNAcentral is "bacterial SSU rRNA". It matches the Rfam family "Archaeal small subunit ribosomal RNA", at positions 340 to 886 of the family's 1478-position model. Lineage: Archaea; Methanobacteriati; Methanobacteriota; Halobacteria; Halobacteriales; Halobacteriaceae. The record is from RNAcentral.
CGCGAAACCUUUACACUGCACGACAGUCGAUAAGGGGACCCCGAGUGCGAGGGCAUACAGUCCUCGCUUUUGUGUACCGUAGGGAGGUACACGAAUAAGAGCUGGGCAAGACCGGUGCCAGCCGCCGCGGUAAUACCGGCAGCUCAAGUGAUGGCCGCUAUUAUUGGGCCUAAAGCGUCCGUAGCCGGCCGCACAAGUCCGUCGGGAAAUCCACCCGCCUAACGGGUGGGCGUCCGGCGGAAACUGUGCGGCUUGGGACCGGAAGACUCGAGGGGUACGUCCGGGGUAGGAGUGAAAUCCCGUAAUCCUGGACGGACCGCCGGUGGCGAAAGCGCCUCGAGAGGACGGAUCCGACGGUGAGGGACGAAAGCUAGGGUCCCGAACCGGAUUAGAUACCCGGGUAGUCCUAGCCGUAAACGAUGCUCGCUAGGUGUGACGCAGGCUACGAGCCUGCGCUGUGCCGUAGGGAAGCCGUGAAGCGAGCCGCCUGGGAAGUACGUCCGCAAGGAUGAAACUUAAAGGAAUUGGCGGGGGAGCACUACAACC